Non-coding RNA from Nelumbo nucifera (sacred lotus), 502 nucleotides. The record is from RefSeq and is a predicted model, not a curated record. NCBI's taxonomy places the organism in Eukaryota, Viridiplantae, Streptophyta, Magnoliopsida, Proteales, Nelumbonaceae.
GCACAAGAAAUCAUCCUUCUUUCUCUGGUUUAAUUCACUCUUGAUCUCCCCGUUCCCCCUCAAGUAACAAUGGCUCCAAAGACUUUCUUUGUCUUUGCUUUGGCCUUGGCCUUCUACUUUGCUUUCAUUCUCAUUCCCUCUGAGGCUGUUCCUGGCGAGGAUGCCGGAACUAACAUAUACCAAGGACGUCGUCUUUUCGGAUUUCCGCGUGUUCGUUUGCCUCCUGGUAUUAAACAUCCGCUACCUCAUAUUAUUCACCCUCCACACUUGAUCGGACAUCAUCCUCCUCCGUGUUGUUGAGGAAGUAAGUUUCAAGUUCAACAGCAACAAACGCAGUAGUAGCAAUAAUAGAAAUAAAUGUUGUUACGUUGUUGUUGGAAAGUUUGUUCUACCACAGGAUCGUGAAGUUGGUAUUUAGUAUUGUUAAGGUGUGUUGUACUACUUACAAUGGUUCCAUCAUAAAUAAAAUGUUCACUAGAGUGCUGCAUGGAUGUGUAAUUAA